This 1690-nucleotide ribosomal RNA is filed under the name Grantiopsis heroni. RNAcentral describes it as "eukaryotic LSU rRNA". The stretch from base 278 to 1690 matches the Rfam family "Eukaryotic large subunit ribosomal RNA", at positions 1 to 1873 of the family's 3401-position model. The record is from RNAcentral. Lineage: Eukaryota; Metazoa; Porifera; Calcarea; Leucosolenida; Lelapiidae.
GCUAGCAAUGCACGCCCGUGGUUCAGCCGGCUAGUCUUGUGAGUAGUCGUGUGACGGAUCCGAACGGACCGUCGGCGGCGACUUCGCCGGGCGAGCUGUGGUGCACUCCAUGGACGUGCGCGUCAGCGUCGGUUUCCGACGAGCGAUGAGGUGCGUGGGGGAAGGUAGCUCGGUUCUUCGGGACGGAGUGUUAAGACCCUGGUGCUGGGCUCGUUGUGGGACCGAGGAGAGAGAUGAUCGCUGCGGCACCUGCCUCUCGGGGCUAGCCAGCCGUUGCCAGGUGUAGGUCAGGCGCUGAGGACUGCACGCAGUGCUCGGAUGUUGAGGCGUAAUCUGGUGGUGGUGUGGGCAUAGAGGUGCCUAGGACGCUGGCGUCCAAAUGGCCGUGCGCGACCCGUCUUGAAACACGGACCAAGGAGUCUAACAUGUGCGCGAGUCUUAGGGUGUGCAAGCCCUCGGGCGGAAUGAAAGUGAAGGUUGGGCACUAGUCCAGCUGAGGUGAGAGCCGUUGCUGGCCUGACUGCUACGGCGGCGCAUCAUCGGCCGGUCCAUCCUGCUCUCAGGAGGAUCCGAGCAAGAGCGUAUCUGUUGGGACCCGAAAGAUGGUGAACUAUGCCUGAAUAGGGUGAAGCCAGAGGAAACUCUGGUGGAGGCUCGUAGGGAUUCUAACGUGCAAAUUGAUCUCAAAAUUUGGGUAUAGGGGCGAAAGACUAAUCGAACCAUCUAGUAGCUGGUUCCCUCCGAAGUUUCCCUCAGGAUAGCUGGAACUCGUCAAGACAGUUUUAUCAGGUAAAGCGAAUGAUUAGAGGUCUUGGGGGUGAAACACCCUCAACCUAUUCUCAAACUUUAAAUCGGUAAGAAGCGCGACUUGCUUAAUUGAAGCCGCGCAGCCAAUGUGAGUUCCAAGUGGGCCAUUUUUGGUAAGCAGAACUGGCGAUGCGGGAUGAACCGAACGCUCGGUUAAGGUGCCCAAGUCGACGCUCAUCAGACCCCAGAAAAGGUGUUGGUUGAUAUAGACAGCAGGACGGUGGCCAUGGAAGUCGGAAUCCGCUAAGGAGUGUGUAACAACUCACCUGCCGAAUCAACUAGCCCUGAAAAUGGAUGGCGCUCAAGCGUCGCACCUAUACCGGGCCGUCGUCGUAAAUGCCAGGCGACGACGAGUAGGAGGGCGCGGUGGUCGUGAUGCAGCCCUUGGCGUGAGCCUGGGUCAAACGGCCUCUGGUGCAGAUCUUGGUGGUAGUAGCAAAUAUUCAAAUGAGAGCUUUGAAGACCGAAGUGGAGAAAGGUUCCAUGUGAACAGCAGUUGGACAUGGGUUAGUCGAUCCUAAGAGAUAGGGGAGCUCCGUAUCAACGCGCGCAAUCGGUCUCGUGCCGCCUUGCGCCAACCUAUCGAAAGGGAAUCGGGUUAAUAUUCCCGAACCGGAAUGCGGAUAUUCUCUGGCUUUCGGGUCAGGAGCGGCAACGCUAGCGAACCGCGAGACGUCGGCGGGGGCUCCGGGAAGAGUUGUCUUUUCUUUUUAACGCAGUCGCCAUCCCUGGAAUCGGUUUGCCCGGAGAUAGGGUUGGCUGGCUCGGUAAAGCAGCACACUUCAUGUGCUGUCCGGUGCGCUCUCGACGGCCCUUGAAAAUCGCGGGGGUGUACUGAUUUUCGCAUCCGGUCGUACUCAUAACCGCAUCAGGUCUCCAAGGU